AUGAGGUGCCUGCCGUUCCUGCACGGGGACGCCAAGUCAAGGGACGACGACCGGCGCACGGGCCCCAGCGGCGCCAUGUCGGCCUCGGUGCGCUCCUUCAGCACCGAGUCCACGGAGCGCGGCGACCCGCGCUCCGGCUCCGACCUCAACUCCAUCAACGCCUCCGACAUGAGCGCCGAGUCCAUCCGCCGGACGCAGUACCCGAGCUUCACCGACCGCCCCGCCAACCUCCGGGUCUUCACCUUCCCCGAGCUCAAGGCCGCCACCCGCAACUUCAGCCGCUCCCUCAUGGUCGGCGAGGGCGGCUUCGGCUGCGUCUACCGGGGCGUCAUCAAGGGCUCCGACGACGACCCCGCCGAGCGCGUCGAGAUCGCCGUCAAGCAGCUGAAUCGCAAGGGAGUCCAGGGGCAGAAGGAAUGGUUAACAGAAAUGAACGUGCUUGGGAUUGUAGAGCACCCAAACCUGGUCAAACUAAUAGGUUACUGCGCGGAUGACGAUGAGCGGGGAAUGCAGCGGCUUCUGGUAUACGAAUACAUGCCCAACGGAAGCGUGGAUGACCACUUGGCAAGUAGGUCAACUUCUACUCUAUCAUGGCCGAUGAGAUUGAAAGUAGCUCUUGAUGCUGCCCGCGGGCUCAAGUAUCUGCAUGAGGAGAUGGACUUUCAGGUUAUUUUCCGAGACCUGAAAACAUCUAACAUUCUAUUAGAUGAGAACUGGAAUGCAAAGUUAUCGGACUUCGGAUUGGCUAGGCAUGGACCACAAGAAGGGCUAUCCCAUGUCUCCACAGCGAUCGUUGGAACUCUAGGAUACGCCGCGCCCGAAUACAUGCAAACCGGGCGCCUCACCGCAAAAAGCGACAUAUGGGGCUACGGCGUGCUCCUCUACGAGCUCAUCACCGGCCGGCGUCCCAUCGAUCGGAACCGCCCAAAGGGCGAGCAGAAGCUCCUGGACUGGGUGAAACCGUACAUCUCGGACGUCAAGCGGUUCCCCAUCAUCGUCGACCCGCGUCUUGAGGGCCACUACGACCUCAAGUCCAUGACAAAGCUGGCCGGCGUGGCAAACCGCUGCCUCCUGCGGCUACCGAAGACGCGCCCGAAGAUGAGCGAGGUGUAUGAAAUGGUCCAGAAGAUCGUCGACAGCGUCGAGGUCGGCCCCCCGGAGCCUCCCCUGCACUACCAUGGCUCGGUGUCCGGACCGGGCGCGAAGCGGACCAAGAAAGGGUCGCUGAAGAGGAGGCUCCAGGAGUUCAAGUUCGGGUGCCGCCAGAUCGUGUGGCGGGGCUGGAAACCUGAGAUCGUAAAGACCUGCUGA
RNAcentral lists this ribosomal RNA (1311 nucleotides) under Triticum aestivum (bread wheat). RNAcentral's name for it is "partial small subunit ribosomal RNA". Lineage: Eukaryota; Viridiplantae; Streptophyta; Magnoliopsida; Poales; Poaceae. The record is from RNAcentral.